AUCCGCAUGCUCGGGAGAGAGGCUCUGACAGUGAGGAUUUAUCCGAGUCGAGCCAUUUGCUAGUUGAAAAAAGCAAAUCCACUCCUUCUAUUCGAUCGAUUACGAUUGUUUAGAGAAUUUCUGGAACCCCCCCUA
RNAcentral lists this small nuclear RNA (135 nucleotides) under Trichosporon asahii var. asahii CBS 8904. RNAcentral describes it as "U4 spliceosomal RNA". It matches the Rfam family "U4 spliceosomal RNA". Rfam says of the family: U4 small nuclear RNA (U4 snRNA) is a component of the major U2-dependent spliceosome. Lineage: Eukaryota; Fungi; Basidiomycota; Tremellomycetes; Trichosporonales; Trichosporonaceae. The record is from Rfam by way of RNAcentral.